UACAGUCAAUUCUCCUAAGGAAAAAGGGUGAAAACAAUCACUUUACCAUACAUUAAUAAUAGAGCCUACGUCUAAUAUAUUCUUGUACAUUUAUGAACCUUGAAGACUAGAAGAAAAGCACCUAGGCCCAACAAGAUUAAGUGAAUAUUGUGGUCAUUUUAUUUCUAUCUUUCCA
RNAcentral lists this non-coding RNA (175 nucleotides) under Erythranthe guttata (spotted monkey flower). RNAcentral describes it as "Mimulus guttatus (spotted monkey flower) Antisense RNA which regulates isiA expression". The stretch from base 62 to 175 matches the Rfam family "Antisense RNA which regulates isiA expression", at positions 67 to 187 of the family's 187-position model. Lineage: Eukaryota; Viridiplantae; Streptophyta; Magnoliopsida; Lamiales; Phrymaceae. The record is from Rfam by way of RNAcentral.